Molecule: unclassified non-coding RNA, 19 nt
Filed under: synthetic construct
Description: RNA (5'-R(P*UP*GP*UP*AP*AP*UP*CP*CP*CP*CP*UP*UP*GP*GP*CP*GP*GP*UP*U)-3') from synthetic construct (PDB 7XTD, chain P)
Source: RNAcentral
UGUAAUCCCCUUGGCGGUU